This 253-nucleotide ribosomal RNA is filed under the name uncultured bacterium. RNAcentral describes it as "partial 16S ribosomal RNA". It matches the Rfam family "Bacterial small subunit ribosomal RNA", at positions 524 to 776 of the family's 1533-position model. The record is from RNAcentral.
UACGUAGGGCGCAAGCGUUGUCCGGAAUUAUUGGGCGUAAAGGGCUCGUAGGCGGCCAACUAAGUCGGAUGUGAAAUCCCCAGGCUCAACUUGGGAACUGCAUCCGAUACUGGAUGGCUUGAAUUCGGGAGAGGGAUGCAGAAUUCCGGGUGUAGCGGUGGAAUGCGUAGAGAUCCGGAAGAACACCGGUGGCGAAGGCGGCCUCCUGGGCCAGAACUGACGCUCAUGCACGAAAGCGUGGGGAGCAAACAGG